CCAGUUGUGAAUGCUGCUGGUUUUGAUGCCUUAGCCAACUCCGCAGACUGAUAAGCGCUACGAAGAGCGGGCAACGAAGUAACAGAAGGAGCGAGAUUACAGCUGGGGUUAGGAGCUAGGUGAUUAACGUUUGGUACAAUGAGACGAAUCCUGGACAUGAAAGAUAAAUCAGCGAGCUUGGAGGCUGAGAUAUGAGAAACCCAUAAUGACUUUUCGUCCUGAACCGAACCAGACACUGAAGCAGCAAUAGGCUCUGGUUCAGAACCUCGAACAAGUGAUCUAAGAGAGGAGAACUUGUCAGAGACAUCUGCAGAGACAGAAGCGGCGAUAACAGCUGCAGCAGCAACAAGUGGCCGUUGGAUACUCCCAGACAAAUAACUCAUGAUGGCCACAAUCUAAAUCCAAAACUAGCAUAAAAGUCUCAAUGCAAUGGAAAGGACUCCUGUUAUAUAAGAAGAGAAAUAGUAGUGUAAAUAUAAGUAUACACACACACAAAACACAUGUUGAAAACGCGUGUAAGACUACAAGAUUGUUGGGACAUGCUGUAAAUUACCUGGAAGCAGAGCUUCCUUUUGAUUCUUCAAACGAACUCGGGCUGUCAAGUAAUGACAGCCCGACCACAAUGUAGUAAUUGCUUGGUCAGAGUCAAAUCUCUCUUUAUGCAUUAUUUGAGAGCAAUAGGUGCGUACGACUCAUUUCAGCAGCAGACAGAACGAGGAAAGGGUCGUGGUCAUAAGAGUCGACGCUAACACAUCUACCUAAUAUUCCUAAUGCUGUGAUAUUUGUAUCACCACUGCUUCGCUAAUCUUUUAUUUGCUUCAGUAUGCUAUAUUUGCUUGGUAUGUAUAAUUUGAUUCUCUAUGUUUGAUUUGCUUCGGCACAAUAUUUUCUUUGCUUGGUAUGUUAUAUUUGCACAGUAUGCUAUAUUUGCUUGGUAUGUUUUGAUUCACUAAUGUUGAUGCAGCAAUCCAAUAAGAUACAUAUAAAAAAAUUAUCUAUAAAACUUUACAUCCUAGCACAAGAAACAUUUGUUAUAUACUUAUAUCAUACGAAGCUACAUUGACAUCACACUGAGUGGGAGUGUCAUACAAACCCAUUGAGGCAUCUCCUGAACAAUACAUAACUAUGAUCAAUUUAUAGCUAAAUUAUAAUACUGAGUGGAACCAUAUGUUAACUUAUAGCUUAUAAUCAAAAAUUAACUAUCAAGAGCAAUUAUCAAUAAACAACUGAUCUAUCUCAGCUAUCCCCCAACAAUCAAUUACUUGCCAAGCACACAAUGACAACAGACACAAUCACUUCAAUUACAACACAAGAAAAAAAUAUAAACGCACCAUGAACGACCCAUAAUAUUUCAAGAUUUAUAACUAUAUCGUAUCUCACCGAGUAAUGUAUUCUACUUCGGAUAUAAUAAGUGCAACCAUAAAUAUUUUCGCAUUUUUUCUACCCAAAAAUAGUUUCUCAUCUAUGUGAAACGUAUAAAAAAUUGGAACAUCCAUUCUAAACUUGAUUACCCCUAGCAUAAAAUAGUAAUUAUAUAUUUUAAAUCAAACACACAAUUGAAAUAGCCCAUUUAUUUGACCAACCGAAUUCGAAUAAUUUACAAUCAAAUGAGAAGGACCUGCACGGAGUUUUUUUCCAGCUAAGCCAGGUAUGUACAUUUUUAUAUAAAUAACAUAACUAUUGUAUGAGUGCGUUACGUAUUCAGACACUUUUUUCUUUUUUUUGUCAUGUUAAGGCACUUCCUGCUAGAGGCAUACUUUCUUUCCUUUUUCUCCAUGUGUUUGUACAUAAUUACCUUACCGGUUAAGAGAAAGAAGAAGCUGGUUAGAUUUUUUAAUUUUAAAAUGAUAUCAAGUUUGUGGGGACCAAUUUUAACUAUAGUAGUUGCGUCACUUUUUUUUAUUCGUACUUUAUAUCUCCUCAAACCAAACCAAAUGAAAAGACAUGUUUCUUUCUUUUUUUUAAUUAUUAUUGUUUGUUUUACCUAGUUUUAGUUUGUUUUGUUUAUUUUAAAUUUAAGGAUAUAUUUGACAAAUUUGUUUGAUAUAUUAAAUUAUGUUUUUUUAUUUUCUAUAAUUUGAUAUCCAUUUUGAUAUGUAUACAAAUGAAAAAAGUGGACAAAAAAGUUGUGGAUAGAGAAACAUUGUAAUUGUGUACAUCCAACUAUUGUGGAUGGAUAUGAUCAUAUGAUAUGUUUUCUUUUUUUAAUAUUGCUUUAUCAAUCUUUUCUAUUUCUUUAUGUGAUUAUUUUAACAUAUUAAAGUAUAUAACUAAAUAAAUUUUUGAUAUCAUAAAUUUUAUCUUUUUGUUCUUUACAUUUUUAGAUCCAUUUUAGUAUAUUUUUGCAAUCUAAAUAUGAAAAAAUCAUAUCAACAAAAAAUAAUCGUGUAUAUAGAAAAAAUGUGGACAUGGACACAUCUAAUGUUUUCAAUUGUAUUUUAAUGUCUGUGUUAGUGGAUGUGAUCUUUUUUAAAAAAGAAAUGAUUGGUUAUUUAUUUUAUUAUUGUUUAUACUACCUAAUGUUUUCAAUUGAUUUUAUUUCAAAUUUUUAAGAGUUAUAAAAUAAAUAUACUAUUACAAUAAUUUUUAUAUAUAAUUUUCUGUUUUUGACAUCAUUUUAUAUAUAUCAUAUAUGUAUAUAUAUCAACGUUUACAAAAAAAAUAUGUCGACAUGGACAUGAACUAAAUAUGUGGAUGUGGACGACAUAUGUAGAUAAAAAUUUGUAGACAAAAGUGUUUUCAUUACUUGAAAGAGAAACCAAAGGUCUGGAGACAAUGACUCAAACCAAAAUGUGAGGUGCGGAUGUGGAUGUGUUUAUCUCAUCUAAAUUCAAGAAAAUGUUUUGCACAUUUUAAAAGUAUUGGGUGAAAGCGUAAAUAACCAAAACGUGAGGGACCACAAUUAAAAAAACUGAAAAUUCACCAUUGUUGCUCUCACUCUCUAGCAUGACCCAAAUCACCAACUAGCAGCAGAUCAAACUCGUUGACAUCAUCAGCUACAUGAACUUCUCCGAUUCCAGCCCUACUCUGCGUUUGUCGUCGCACAGGUUCAGUCGUCCUCCGCUGAAGUAGAGAGGUGCCGUCGUCACACAUUCAAACACAACUUUCUUGUCUUAUUCUUCCCCUUGCUCCUCCACAUCUCCUUUUCACUGACACAGAACAAGCAAUUAUGAAAUAGUUUUCAUACCAAAACUUUGUGUCUUAUGGUACCAAAAAGAUGUCGUCAUCAACUCAUCUUCUACAAAUCAAAAUCAAAGGAAAACAUUGAGGAUUAAAGACAAACCUGGUGCUAACUUGACGUUUCUAUGUCGUAGUGAGCGCAAGGGAUCGAGCUCAGAGAUAGAUUGGGAGGUAGAGUUGGUUUGGUCAAAGAAACAAGCUCUUAAAAAUUACCGAGAGAAAGACCUAUGAAUUUCUGAGGUUUGUGAUAUUAUUAUUGAGAAAGUAAAAAAAACAGAGAGAAAAACAAAAUUUUCCAGAAAAAUGUUGAGUUAGGAAGAAGGAGAGAGUUUGAAAUUAGAAUUAGGGGAUUUGGAAAAGUAAAAGUAGAUUUGAGAUUUGAAAUCAGAAUUGGAGAGAGAUAUGGAAUUAGGGUUGAGAAUUUGUGAAAUAGAAAGUGGAUCUGCGUUUUGAAGGAGAGAAGAGAGAGGAGAGAGGAGAGAGUAGAGAGUAGAGAGAGAUGAGAGAGUAGAGAUGAAAGAAUAUAAUCAUGGUUAGUUGUCUCUGGUUAGGUUAGUCUGGUCUGGUCAAAAUUGGGGGUAUGAAAGACAUUCGACAGGCAUAAUGUGUCUAGCCAGUGAAAAGUGUCUAAAGGUGUAGACAUAAGACGAAAAGUGUUUAUAGAGUAAAAAAAUCUUAUUGUAUUUGCUUAAAUUUAUGCUUACUAAUUUAUUCUUAACCAAUUUCAGGUCAUUUCUUUCUGAUGAACCUCAGCACAACUUCUGAUCUACAAAAAACUUAAUCUGUUUCUUACAUUAUUUAUUAUGUUUACUUAGCUACUCUUUUAGCUUUAAAACAAUUGCGUAAACUCGAUAUUCACCAAUUUUCAAACAUUUUGGAAAAAAAAUUCUUCCAUUCCAACCAAAAAAACAUCGAAACAUAUAAUAAAAAAUUGACUAUAAACCCACUUUUCCGGGCGGAGACAGGACCUAGUAAACUGUAAUAAUUCAAUCUAUACACCAAUCCAAACCAAAAGAAUCAUCAAGUAGUCCUUUUUUUUCUUCUGUAUAAAAAUGACCCAAAGAAUAAAAGUUGGCAACAACAACACUUGUGUGGACGGUCGCUAUGAAGAAUGGUUGCAACAGGCAAGGACAAAGUUGUCCAUGAAAUGGUUGAGCUCAGCUGUAUAAAGCUGUGGGUUACUCCUGAAAUGGUCUACAUGAGGUGAAGAUAUGAAGUUGCAGGCACGGACCUCGUGUCCUGCUUUCCUCUGUUCUACAAUGAAUGACUCAACUUGCCCCGCGGGUAUAACUCUAUCCGCAGAGCUGUAAAUGUACAACUGUGGACAUCUUGGUUGUGAUGAUGAUAAAGUCUCUAGAACAUUAGCUAGUCUCCUGUAACAGCACGAGUUUGUUUGGUUAGUGUGAAACAUUGCAUUUGCGUGAUGAAAGGCGCCUUUUUGUGUGUGAGAGAGCUCGUUUGUCGUCACAUGUUCAGUCGUCCUCCGCUGAAGUAGAGAGGUGCCGUCGUCACACAUUCAAACGCAACUUUCUUGUCUUAUUCUUCCCCUUCCUCCUCCACAUCUCCUUUUCACUGACACAGAACAAGCAAUUAUGAAAUAGUUUUCAGACCAAAACUUCGUGUCUUAUGGUACCAAAAAGAUGUCGUCAUCAACUCAUCUUCUACAAAUCAAAAUCAAAGGAAAACAUUGAGGAUUAAAGACAAACCUGGUGCUAACUUGACGUUUCUAUGUCGUAGUGAGCGCAAGGGAUCGAGCUCAGAGAUAGAUUGGGAGGUAGAGUUGGUUUGGUCAAAGAAACAAGCUCUUAAAAAUUACCGAGAGAAAGACCUAUGAAUUUCUGAGGUUUGUGAUAUUAUUAUUGAGAAAGUAAAAAAAACACAGAGAAAAACAAAAUUUUCCAGAGAAAUGUUGAGUUAGGAAGAAGGAGAGAGUUUGAAAUUAGAAUUAGGGGAUUUGGAAAAGUAAAAGUAGAUUUGAGAUUUGAAAUCAUAAUUGGAGAGAGAUAUGGAAUUAGGGUUGAGAAUUUGUGAAAGAGAAAGUGGAUCUGCGUUUUGAAGGAGAGAGGAGAGAGGAGAGAGGAGAGAUGAGAGAGUAGAGAUGAAAGAAUAUAAUCAUGGUUAGUUGUCUCUGGUUAGGUUAGUCUGGUCUGGUCAAAAUUGGGGGUAUGAAAGACAUUCGACAGGCAUAAUGUGUCUAGCCAGUGAAAAGUGUCUAAAGGUGUAGACAUAAGACGAAAAGUGUUUAUAGAGUAAAAAAAUCUUAUUGUAUUUGCUUAAAUUUAUGCUUACUAAUUUAUUCUUAACCAAUUUCAGGUCAUUUCUUUCUGAUGAACCUCAGCACAACUUCUGAUCUACAAAAAACUUAAUCUGUUUCUUACAUUAUUUAUUAUGUUUACUUAGCUACUCUUUUAGCUUUAAAACAAUUGCGUAAACUCGAUAUUCACCAAUUUUCAAACAUUUUGGAAAAAAAAUUCUUCCAUUCCAACCAAAAAAACAUCGAAACAUAUAAUAAAAAAUUGACUAUAAACCCACUUUUCCGGGCGGAGACAGGACCUAGUAAACUGUAAUAAUUCAAUCUAUACACCAAUCCAAACCAAAAGAAUCAUCAAGUAGUCCUUUUUUUUCUUCUGUAUAAAAAUGACCCAAAGAAUAAAAGUUGGCAACAACAACACUUGUGUGGACGGUCGCUAUGAAGAAUGGUUGCAACAGGCAAGGACAAAGUUGUCCAUGAAAUGGUUGAGCUCAGCUGUAUAAAGCUGUGGGUUACUCCUGAAAUGGUCUACAUGAGGUGAAGAUAUGAAGUUGCAGGCACGGACCUCGUGUCCUGCUUUCCUCUGUUCUACAAUGAAUGACUCAACUUGCCCCGCGGGUAUAACUCUAUCCGCAGAGCUGUAAAUGUACAACUGUGGACAUCUUGGUUGUGAUGAUGAUAAAGUCUCUAGAACAUUAGCUAGUCUCCUGUAACAGCACGAGUUUGUUUGGUUAGUGUGAAACAUUGCAUUUGCGUGAUGAAAGGCGCCUUUUUGUGUGUGAGAGAGCUUUUACCUGUUUACUUUGGGAAGAUUAAGAAUCACCGCGAAGAACUUCUCCAGAAUCAUAAGCAAAGCUGUUUCUGUUGCAGCGGGUUUAGGCUCGGAGAAGUUUAUACGUGCUCCCAUGUUUGACUCAAAUGACGAGCUUCCGGAUCCUUUAGUGGCUACACUGUUUUUCUUCAAGAAUGCGGCGGAGAAACCUGAUGCCCAUACCUGCGUUUACAAGCCAAAUUAGUAUCCAUAAAGCUCAACUGAACAGUGCAGAGAUGUAUGACAGGAAUAGCACCCAAACAAAACAUCAUUUAACAAAUCAGAACCAUAAGCCUCACAAGUUAAGCCUCAUUUUACGGCUAUAUGACCAUAUAAAACAAGCUAUGAAUUCAAGAACCAUCGCUUACAGUAGGAUCAGCAGCAGCAACAGGAGCUGAGUCCACUAUGCAACCUUUAACCCUUCCCAUCAAUGAAGAAUCUUGCUUCUGAAACUUUUCCAAAAUGGCUCCAUAUGUUAACCAUCCGGUGUUGCUGAAGGUAUGAAAGACGAGAUUCUUAUGUUGCUCUUCAUCCAACCAAUCAGCCAAAUGAUUAACCAGCGACUCGAUGUUCUUCUCUGCUUUUCCUCCAACUUGGUAGCUCAUAAUCUCAUUCAUGGGGAGAGUAAACGUGAUCACAUGGUAACCCCUUGAAGUAUACCAUUCUGCAUAUUUCUUCAUAUGCUUCUGCUUCGAUCCAAGCCAUCCCAGCAAAACCACGACGGUCCUAUUCUUCUCCAACGCACAUCUCGAGGAGCCAGAGAGAUCAACUGCACCAGUCUCGGGCAAAUGCCAUUUGUACGAAACAUCAGGAACAACAAGAGAGGCCCCAGUUGUGAAUGCUGCUGGUUUUGAUGCCUUAGCCAACUCCGCAGACUGAUAAGCGCUACGAAGAGCGGGCAACGAAGUAACAGAAGGAGCGAGAUUACAGCUGGGGUUAGGAGCUAGGUGAUUAACGUUUGGUACAAUGAGACGAAUCCUGGACAUGAAAGAUAAAUCAGCGAGCUUGGAGGCUGAGAUAUGAGAAACCCAUAAUGACUUUUCGUCCUGAACCGAACCAGACACUGAAGCAGCAAUAGGCUCUGGUUCAGAACCUC
This 7338-nucleotide long non-coding RNA is filed under the name Brassica napus (rape). Its description in RNAcentral is "long non-coding RNA (BNAP_LNC017798)". The record is from RNAcentral. Lineage: Eukaryota; Viridiplantae; Streptophyta; Magnoliopsida; Brassicales; Brassicaceae.